RNAcentral lists this ribosomal RNA (460 nucleotides) under uncultured bacterium. RNAcentral's name for it is "partial 16S ribosomal RNA". It matches the Rfam family "Bacterial small subunit ribosomal RNA", at positions 338 to 795 of the family's 1533-position model. The record is from RNAcentral.
CCUACGGGUGGCAGCAGUGAGGAAUAUUGGUCAAUGGACGAGAGUCUGAACCAGCCAAGUAGCGUGAAGGAUGACUGCCCUAUGGGUUGUAAACUUCUUUUAUAUGGGAAUAAAACGUUCCACGUGUGGGAUUUUGUAUGUACCAUAUGAAUAAGGAUCGGCUAACUCCGUGCCAGCAGCCGCGGUAAUACGGAGGAUCCGAGCGUUAUCCGGAUUUAUUGGGUUUAAAGGGAGCGUAGGUGGAUUGUUAAGUCAGUUGUGAAAGUUUGCGGCUCAACCGUAAAAUUGCAGUUGAAACUGGCAGUCUUGAGUACAGUAGAGGUGUGCGGAAUUCGUGGUGUAGCGGUGAAAUGCUUAGAUAUCACGAAGAACUCCGAUUGCGAAGGCAGUUCACUGGACUGCAACUGACACUGAGGCUCGAAAGUGUGGGUAUCAAACAGGAUUAGAUACCCCUGUAGUC